ACACCGAAAGGAGGUGAUCCUGAAAUUGAGUAUUCUCAGGACGCGUGAGGUGGCCGUCCGCUAGCCGCCGGCCGACCCGUCGAGGUAACCGGCGGUAGGCGAAUACCAGACAGACACCCGGCCCGCAGGUCCACCGUUCGUCCACGGUGCCCGCCCGGUGCCGAGCGCAGUAGCGCCCGGUCGGGAGGGAAGUGACCUGCGGGCUGUCUGCU
Molecule: small RNA, 212 nt
Filed under: Actinospica robiniae DSM 44927
Lineage: Bacteria; Bacillati; Actinomycetota; Actinomycetes; Catenulisporales; Actinospicaceae
Description: Actinobacteria sRNA Ms_IGR-5
Rfam family: Actinobacteria sRNA Ms_IGR-5
Source: Rfam by way of RNAcentral